This 486-nucleotide ribosomal RNA is filed under the name Salmonella enterica. RNAcentral describes it as "bacterial SSU rRNA". It matches the Rfam family "Bacterial small subunit ribosomal RNA", at positions 1 to 480 of the family's 1533-position model. The record is from RNAcentral. Lineage: Bacteria; Pseudomonadati; Pseudomonadota; Gammaproteobacteria; Enterobacterales; Enterobacteriaceae.
UGAAGAGUUUGAUCAUGGCUCAGAUUGAACGCUGGCGGCAGGCCUAACACAUGCAAGUCGAACGGUAACAGGAAGCAGCUUGCUGCUUUGCUGACGAGUGGCGGACGGGUGAGUAAUGUCUGGGAAACUGCCUGAUGGAGGGGGAUAACUACUGGAAACGGUGGCUAAUACCGCAUAACGUCGCAAGACCAAAGAGGGGGACCUUCGGGCCUCUUGCCAUCAGAUGUGCCCAGAUGGGAUUAGCUUGUUGGUGAGGUAACGGCUCACCAAGGCGACGAUCCCUAGCUGGUCUGAGAGGAUGACCAGCCACACUGGAACUGAGACACGGUCCAGACUCCUACGGGAGGCAGCAGUGGGGAAUAUUGCACAAUGGGCGCAAGCCUGAUGCAGCCAUGCCGCGUGUAUGAAGAAGGCCUUCGGGUUGUAAAGUACUUUCAGCGGGGAGGAAGGUGUUGUGGUUAAUAACCGCAGCAAUUGACGUUACCC